UGGAGCAGCAAAAUGGCUGUAAUACAGACAGUAAAUAAUGCAUACUAUUUAGAGAGUUUCUUAAUCAGGGCCAUGAAUAAUUGGCUUUGCUGGGCUUGGCUUUGUACACAAUUCAUUUGCAUCUGCUGAUUUUGCAACUGCAUCAUCUGCAUGAAGUCUUUAUGUCGCUUUUCUUCAUUUUCUUGCUUUUUAGUGUCAUUAUCUAAAUUUUUUUCUUUAUUUCCAGCUCCCUUUCCCGCAAUUGUCUCUCACUUUCCAUCCUCUCCCUUAAAUAAUGCACAGCCUCUGAUCCUUUACUCCUCUGCUUUACUUUCUUGUCAUCACCUACUGUGUCUGCUUUUCUUUUCUGUGUUUCCCUCAAAGUUUCCAUAGCCUUAAGUCUCAUAUCAUCCGUGUUUUCUUUGUCCACUUGUUCUUUUCGCUUCUUCUCACCUGUUCAUCAUUGUAUGAUUCUUCUAAUUCGAGAAUUUCCUCAAAGUGUGUCUAGCUCCGACAUUUCUGGGGAAAUUCCUGAGCCAUGUUCCUCUGCAGCUAUUUUUCUCUUAAACUUAUCCCUCAGUAGCUUGAAGCGGUCACGAACAGAGCGCUGUACAACCAAAAACUUUGGCUCUGCCAACUUGUUCAAAUUUUCAGCAAUUGUGUUCCACAAAUGUCCUCUUUGGCUUGUUCGUGACUUUGUCGUGUAAGGUUCCACCACAAGUAUAUCCCUACAUAGCAAAACAUCGUGAAGGUUCGUCCAUUCCAUCUAUAUAUAAAAACGUGUACAUAAAUUAGGUCGAAAGUAGUCGCCAAAGCGAAGUCAAAGAACGAACUGACCAGCGCCAUACGAGUGGAAACUUGCCUUGUAUAUAAGUGCCAAACAAAGGAAAUUUACGAAAGCAACAACGUUAAAGAUUACGCUGGCACGUCAAUGACAUAGUAAACAAAUAUAAACCAUAUUUACCUCUUAAAAUUAUCUUGAAGUUUCUUGAAAAUCCUCACUUUACACCUAUUGUUGUGAAGUUAUCAACGUGUAGUGGACGACGAGCAAUU
This is a non-coding RNA of Paramuricea clavata, 1032 nucleotides long. The record is from the annotation of a GenBank genome assembly. Lineage: Eukaryota; Metazoa; Cnidaria; Anthozoa; Malacalcyonacea; Plexauridae.